RNAcentral lists this long non-coding RNA (472 nucleotides) under Rattus norvegicus (Norway rat). RNAcentral describes it as "long non-coding RNA NONRATT024004". Lineage: Eukaryota; Metazoa; Chordata; Mammalia; Rodentia; Muridae. The record is from RNAcentral.
AUCUUGCCCAUGUGAUGCGCAUUUUGUCUGCAGAAAAUAUCCCAAAUUUACCUCCCGGGGGAGGCCUCGCUGGCAAGCGCAAUGUUAUUGAAGCUGUUUAUAGUAGACUUAAUCCAAACAAAGACAAUGAUGGGUUUUACCAACCUUCAAUUCCAUACAGUGACAAUGUUUUCCUAUUAUGAAUGGCAGACUUGAGCACGUCUAUUUGUAAAGCCAGCUGAGAACUCUGGUGACACAGCAGAGGCUGAUCAACCUACCAAGAGCCCGGAAGUACAAAGAAGAACAAAAGUUUUGUUUUGUUUUUGUAAACUCGAAAGAAAAAAAACAAGUCCAGCAUUACGUCAGUGCGGUAUCUGUUCCGCUGUGAGCGGUAACCUUCUAGCCCAUCAGCGAAGGAGGAGGAGAGCUCCCACCUUGCCUUACAAACCUUGCUUUUCCAUGUUCAUGCAAUAAACACGUUUGGCUUCUUGGU